GGGGGAUGGUUUUGUGUACUGUGUAUUCAGAUGCUGAUUUCUAUGCCCGGACAUCUGGUCACAGUUACCUCAAAUUGGUCCUAGAUGAUAUAAAAAACCAGACUGAGCAAGCAAUGAGAAGCAAGCCAGUAAACUGCACUCCUCCAUGGCCUCUGCAUCAGCUCCUGCUUCCAAGGUUCCUGUCCUGUUUGAGUUCCUGUCCUGUCUUCCCACCGUGGUGGACUAUUAUUACUGCUGCUGGAUAGAGACGAUCCUGAGAAUGGACACCAGCCAGAUACCAAGUCACUGGAUUCUACCUCUGCAUCCUUGGCCUGCUCCCUGCCCCCGCUCCACCUUUAAGCUAUCAUCACCUGUUGGGAUGUUGUGGUUUAGAGGGCACGCCAGCCUGUCCUAGCCCUGCUCUACUCUGACUCCUGCUCAGUAGGAAGUGAAGAGUCUCCCUGACAUCCUUCUCCUGCUCCCUGCUACAACACACUCUGAAAGCUCUGAGCUGUGAGCAAAAUCUCCCCUUCUGACAGACUGACUGGUCUAAGAAAAGAAAGGAUGAGGUGAAUCCAUCGAAUCAGAAAAGAGAUCAGUGGCCGUGUUGCUCUUGGGAUGAAAUGGGCAGAUCACGUGACAGUCGACUGAGCACCACUCCAGAGUCAGCUAGGAUGAUGGAUGUGAUGGAAACUUGGGAUAUGCCACACUACAGACCCUAGAAUCCGUUUACUUCAUGACUAUGCUUACUGAUGUCAGCGACACUAAAGAGGGGGUGUCUUUGUUAACAUAGACUUUUUAUUAAAGAUUCAUUUUGCUGUC
Molecule: long non-coding RNA, 801 nt
Filed under: Mus musculus (house mouse)
Lineage: Eukaryota; Metazoa; Chordata; Mammalia; Rodentia; Muridae
Description: predicted gene, 30692
Source: RNAcentral